Molecule: long non-coding RNA, 1242 nt
Organism: Gadus macrocephalus (Pacific cod)
Lineage: Eukaryota; Metazoa; Chordata; Actinopteri; Gadiformes; Gadidae
Exons: 2
Source: RefSeq, a predicted model, not a curated record
UUGAUGUUGAAAAAACGUCCACAAACGACCACAUUUGAACUAAACAGCCCAUCCACGGAGGUCCCACAGAGGUCAACAUUAGACGUCGAAAAAACGACGUCGCCUGGCGAUACAAAACAACCCCUUCAGUGGACUGAAAUUUGACGACCAAUAAUGACACAGAAAAGACGUCACUCCGACGGCAUUGCGCAGUGUGAUCGUGUAUACAUUUCCUGCAGCUGUCAUAGGCAUCCAAAUGAUGUCCAAAAAAAUUAUGAUGUCCCAAAAAUGAUGUCCAGAAUUGGUCAUGUACCGACCUGAUACAAACGUGAUCUGCACGUCUAUCCAACGUCCAAUAUUUAGUGGGUUGGUUAUUCGUGGCACUUUGAUCAAACACUGAAACAAUUUGGUUUACCAUAAGUAAACUGAGGAAGUGUUCAUUUUUAUUUCAGUAUUUUUUUUGUCAUUAUUUUUCAAUUAAUGCCAUCUUCAAAUUCUCUUGAUUUGUCUUUCAGGGUUCAGUAGCAGACAGGAGAGUUCUGGUCUGAUGUCCCCGUCUCUGCCCCUCGAAAUGCAUGAAGGCGACAGCGAGCUGGGACUUGUAAAGGAUCGUUCUAAAUCUGAUAAGAAGAAGCUGUCAUUCAGUAGCGGACAGGGGGGCCGUCCUGGUGAGCUAUCCCCGUCUCCGCCCCUCAAAAUGCCGGUGUGGGUGUCAGAUUGACUUGGCUGCCAGAUCGACUCUGGGUCCUAGAUGCGCAAUAAUGACGCACUUCCUGUAAACGCUGUCUUUUAAAUGCGCAUGCGCGUUUCAUUCAUUCCCAUGUUAUUCCCAAGUAUUAACAAUCUCCUUUUGAUCGUUAAUACUAAAAGAUCAAGUUUAGUAUUAAACUUGAUCGUUUCUAUGUGGCAUUCAGUCGGCCAAUGCUGUGGUAAAGUGUGUAAAGUAUGACCAAGUGUUUCUUUCGGUUCAAUAGAUAGAACUUUAUCAAUCCCCUGUAGGAGAAAUUUGUUAAUGUUUGUCCCUAUAAAACAAUAAUGGUAAAAUAAUAAAUACAAAACACGACGGUAACUGAGUAAGUCAAACCGUCCAAUCUGAAGGCUCUACUUAAGCACUUCCCCUACUCACUUCCACCAAUGCAAAGUGAACAGAACUGAGUUGGGGAGGGCGUAGCCUAACUAGUUUGUGUACGACCCAGAGAAACGCAACUCAAAUUCAAUGUGAACAUAUAUGAGGCUUUAAUAAAAUCCCGGACGAUUUUGAAA